UACGGGGGGGGCAAGCGUUGUUCGGAAUUACUGGGCGUAAAGGGCUCGUAGGCGGCCAACUAAGUCAGACGUGAAAUCCCUCGGCUUAACCGGGGAACUGCGUCUGAUACUGGAUGGCUGGAGUGUGGGAGAGGGAUGCGGAAUUCCAGGUGUAGCGGUGAAAUGCGUAGAUAUCUGGAGGAACACCGGUGGCGAAGGCGGCAUCCUGGACCAUUACUGACGCUGAAAAGCGAAAGCCAGGGGAGCAAACGGG
This 253-nucleotide ribosomal RNA is filed under the name uncultured bacterium. RNAcentral describes it as "partial 16S ribosomal RNA". It matches the Rfam family "Bacterial small subunit ribosomal RNA", at positions 524 to 776 of the family's 1533-position model. The record is from RNAcentral.